Molecule: ribosomal RNA, 664 nt
Filed under: uncultured picobiliphyte
Lineage: Eukaryota; Picozoa
Description: partial 18S ribosomal RNA
Rfam family: Eukaryotic small subunit ribosomal RNA
Source: RNAcentral
GUUGUUGCUAAAGCUCGUAGUUGGAUUUGGAUAAGCGGGUCCGCCCGGGAGUGAGGGAUAUCUUCCUCUCGAAAGGUGUAUUCUGUGGGGGUUGACUUUUACUGUGAAAAAAUUAGAGUGUUCAGCCUCCUUGUAUAGCAUGGAAUAAUAAAUAGGACUGGUCUAUUUUGUUGGUACGAAAAUGAUUAAAGGGAGGGGGGUCUAUUUUGCAGAGGUGAAAUUCUUUAACGGAAGAGACUUCUGCGCAUCUGCCAAGGAUGUUUUCAUUGAUCAAAACGAAAGUUAGGGGAUCGAAGAGAUCAAUACCGCGUAGUCUUACCAUAACUAUGCCGACUAGGGAUGUGGAGCGUUACUUUGUACGACCCUCCAUGCACCUUAUGAAAAUCAAGUCUAUGUUCCGGGGGAGAUGGCGCAAGGUAAACUUAAAGGAAUUGACGGAAGGCCCCAGGAGGGAGCCUGCGUUUUUGACUCACACGGGAAAACUUCAGGUCCAACAUAUUAGAUUGAAGAUGACUUUUUCUUGUUCUUGGGGGGGGCUGGCGUUCUUUGGGGGGUUUCUGGUAAUUCCUUAACAAAGACUUAACCUGAAAUUCCCGAACUUCUUGUUGCGGUCGACUUCUUAAGGACAACUUGUGACAAGAAGUUUGCGGCAUAAAGGUAUCCC